UAUGUGAUCGUCUCUUGCAUAUCAAUAAGCGGAGGAAAAGAAACUAACAAGGAUUCCCCUAGUAACGGCGAGUGAAGCGGGAAGAGCUCAAAUUUGAAAUCUUAAAGGGUUUCCCUUUACGAAUUGUAGUUUAAAGAAAUGUUUUCUGUUGAGGUUUUGGUAAAAGUUCUUUGGAAUAGGACAUCAUAGAGGGUGAGAAUCCCGUAUUUGACCUUUACUUUCAACUUUGUGAUACACUUUCAAAGAGUCGGAUUGUUUGGGAAUGCAGUCCAAAAUGGGUGGUAAAUUUCGUCUAAAGCUAAAUAUUGGCGAGAGACCGAUAGCGAACAAGUACCGUGAGGGAAAGAUGAAAAGAACUUUGAAAAGAGAGUUAAACAGUACGUGAAAUUGUCAAAAGGGAAGCGUUUGACACCAGUGUUGUUUUUCUGAAAAUCAAUUAAAGAACUGUUUAUGCUAAGUUGUUUAGACUUUAUCAGCUAUCUGCUUUAGUUUUGAGCUUUUCUUUAAUGCACUUUUCAGUUAACAAGUCAACAUCAAUUUCUUUUGCUGUAAAAAAGCUUGAGGAAGGUGGCUUGAGAUUCGUCUUAAGUGUUUAUAGCCUCUUGCCUAUGCAGUCGGAGAGAUUGAGGUCUGCAGCGUAGAUCCUUCGGGGCUAAAUGCAUUUGUGCUAAGUUAUAACAUUUUAUAGACAACUUGUUGACUAUGAUUUGUCUUGUAGCUUACUCGCUUAUGUUAUUUUACCUACGCUUAGGAUGUUGAAGUCAUCGUAUCGCGC
RNAcentral lists this ribosomal RNA (775 nucleotides) under uncultured Neocallimastigales. Its description in RNAcentral is "partial large subunit ribosomal RNA". It matches the Rfam family "Eukaryotic large subunit ribosomal RNA", at positions 23 to 645 of the family's 3401-position model. Lineage: Eukaryota; Fungi; Neocallimastigomycota; Neocallimastigomycetes; Neocallimastigales. The record is from RNAcentral.